This 425-nucleotide ribosomal RNA is filed under the name uncultured bacterium. RNAcentral describes it as "partial 16S ribosomal RNA". It matches the Rfam family "Bacterial small subunit ribosomal RNA", at positions 354 to 796 of the family's 1533-position model. The record is from RNAcentral.
GUGGGGAAUCUUAGACAAUGGGGGCAACCCUGAUCUAGCCAUGCCGCGUGAGUGAUGAAGGCCUUAGGGUCGUAAAGCUCUUUCGCUGGGGAAGAUAAUGACGGUACCCAGUAAAGAAACCCCGGCUAACUCCGUGCCAGCAGCCGCGGUAAUACGGAGGGGGUUAGCGUUGUUCGGAAUUACUGGGCGUAAAGCGCGCGUAGGUGGAUUGGAAAGUUGGGGGUGAAAUCCCGGGGCUCAACCCUGGAAUGGCCUUCAAAACUCCCAGUCUUGAGGUCGAGAGAGGUGAGUGGAAUUCCGAGUGUAGAGGUGAAAUUCGUAGAUAUUCGGAGGAACACCAGUGGCGAAGGCGGCUCACUGGCUCGAUACUGACGCUGAGGUGCGAAAGCGUGGGGAGCAAACAGGAUUAGAUACCCCAGUAGUCC